UACGGGGGGGGCAAGCGUUGUUCGGAAUUACUGGGCGUAAAGGGCUCGUAGGUGGCCAACUAAGUCAGACGUGAAAUCCCUCGGCUUAACCGGGGAACUGCGUCUGAUACUGGAUGGCUUGAGUUUGGGAGAGGGACGCGGAAUUCCAGGUGUAGCGGUGAAAUGCGUAGAUAUUGGGAGGAACACCAGUGGCGAAGGCGGCUCACUGGACCGGUACUGACGCUGAGGCGCGAAAGCGUGGGUAGCAAACAGG
RNAcentral lists this ribosomal RNA (253 nucleotides) under uncultured bacterium. RNAcentral's name for it is "partial 16S ribosomal RNA". It matches the Rfam family "Bacterial small subunit ribosomal RNA", at positions 524 to 776 of the family's 1533-position model. The record is from RNAcentral.